This 440-nucleotide ribosomal RNA is filed under the name uncultured bacterium. RNAcentral's name for it is "partial 16S ribosomal RNA". It matches the Rfam family "Bacterial small subunit ribosomal RNA", at positions 338 to 795 of the family's 1533-position model. The record is from RNAcentral.
CCUACGUGAGGCAGCAGUGGGGGAUAUUGCACAAUGGGGGGAACCCUGAUGCAGCGACGCCGCGUGGGUGAAGAAGCGCCUCGGCGCGUAAAGCCCUGUCAGCAGGGAAGAAAAUGACGGUACCUGAAGAAGAAGCCCCUGCUAACUACGGGCAAGCAGCCGCGGUAAUACGUAGGGGGCAAGCGUUAUCCGGAUGUACUGGGUGUAAAGGGGGCGCAGAUGGCGAUGCAAGCCAGGCGUGAAAGCCCGGGGCCCAACCCCGGGACUGCUCUUGAAACUGCGUGGCUGGAGUGCAGGAGAGGCAGGCGGAAUUCCUGGUGUAGCAGUGAAAUGCGUAGAUAUCAGGAGGAACACCGGUGGCGAAGGCGGCCAGAUGGACUGCAACUGACGUUGAGGCCCGAAAGCGUGGGGAGCAAACAGGAUUAGAUACCCCUGUAGUC